UGAGAAGAUUUCUUGUGUGGGGUUUCAUCUGCUUUGCUCACCGCUUGUAGUGCUGAAGGGCAGUAGAUUUGUGCUAUAUUUACCUCAGGCUCGCCUUUUCCAGCCAGUUUAAGGUGUGCUUGUGAGGGAAAAACAUGGUAGUGCUGGGGGGUAGACCACAGCUGGCACCUGCCCAGGGAAUUGCUGGUCCUUAGCUCACUGACCAAAGGCACAACCAGCCUGCACACUGCUUUCUGUGUGGCAUCCUGCUGUGCUUGGGCCUUCCUCUUCAUGCUUCAUGGAUGCUUCAUCACUGCACCGCGUAGUAAGUACCAUGAUGGUCCCUGGGGUCAGAGCUGAUCCUGAGGCACGGCACGCUUCCAUCUUUGUGUAAUUCACUGAGUCACUGCGUGCCUGGGCACUGACUGAGGGAAGAGCAGCACAAACUGAGUUACACGCGCACAGUCAGUGGGUCCGGCAAAGCCAGCACUGAUUCAGAGACAAAAGCAUCCCUCCUGAGUUUUCCACAGCCAUUCGAGCAACGUGACAUGCAGCCAAAGCAAAAAGCAAUCAGAGAGCCUCUUGGAACACUUCCAUAUCUAUUUAUUGUGAGAAUGGGAAAGAAAAACAUGUCUGCUUACAGUUACAAUGGUCAUGGCCCCUCAGGCUUUUCUCAUGAUUCUGCAUUUCAUUGUAAUAACUUUUAAAUGUGCUUCUAGAAGGAAUCUGAACUGUGAUACUCCCUGGGGCCUGUUGGUUUCUCCAUUCAUCAGCAUUUUAUUCUUGACAUUAUAAUGGUAAAAUUACCUUUCAAGCUGGUCUUAAAAAAAUACUCACAGAAAAUAUAGACCUAGAUAGAAAAAUAAGGUUUUUGCAAGCACACACAGAUGGAUGUGUGCUGGUAUGAGGCAACGUAAAUUUGGAGCUCGGCUAACAAAUACUUUGAGAUUUUUCUUUCAUUGAUGAAUCAGUAAAAGAAACCAGACCCCUCUUUGCGCUGACAUUUUAUUCAUCGGAAGUGGCCUGUGAGUAAAAGGCUUACAAUUCUCCUAAAUGCCAGUGGCUCAGUUGCAGGCUGAUGUCAGCUGUUAGACACUUAGCCAGCACUAGGAUUUCACACCAUAGCGCCAAAUUUGCAGACACAGAAGAGCUUUGCUGAGACUGCUGAUUUUGCCUCGAAGGCCUGUCCUAUACGAUAUUAAUGUGGCUGGAUGGUUCUACAUCCUGAAGAGGGCACUGCUUCAGCGUAUUUUUUUUAUAACCGCACAGAAGCCAUACAAGAUGGAGCUAAUGCUCCUGUAUACUGUUAUGUAUCUCCUAAAACAAGCUGUAGAUUUUCAGGAAUAAAUCUGAAAGUACUUUUGACAGUGUGAAAUUAUACUGUGUAGCGAGGAGCCUUUUGAUUAACACACACCAAAGAAUGACAACUUAUUAGAGUGAAGGAGUUAAAAUGUCUUUUAUUUUAAUUUAAUAGACCCCUAACAUGAUAUUUGUCAAUAAACCAGCUGAGUGCUGACUGACAUAUGGGACAGGCGACACAAAAGGCAUGCUCACUGCUCCUCUGUGUGCACCACUGCCCAUGCUUGCACAGAAAUGCUGCCGUCACGGUACCAAGACCCCUCAGUGGGAUAAUCUGACAGACAAGCUACUCAGGCUUCCUCUUGAAAAAAACCUGUGCUGUGCCAGAGCACCAGGAAGGAUUGCAGUCCUUCUCACGUUAUCCCGCAGAGUCCUGUGGCUGCUCAGAUUUCCCUGGCUGAAGGCUUCUCUGGAAAACCUUUCCAGAUGCCUGGGCAGUGUUCUGCUGAGUAAGGUGCCUGUGCUCCCUCUCUCAAAUCCUGCAGAUGGUGCUGUCUCUACAGGAUGGUACUUUCUGAACGUGCAGCAAAAAUGGGUGGCUAAAAGGUAUUACUUGUGUGGGUGUUGCAGUUCUCUGUCAAAGGAAGGUCUUUGUUAGGUAAGAUAAUUAUUAUUUUUUCCGAACUCUGUAAAGAUGGAAAGCUUUUAGUAUCAAAAAACUACAAGAAAAAAUAAUUGAUUUGAAAUGUUGCCUUUCUGCCUCCAGUGAAAAGCCUUUCCAUUGUACCUAUAGCUUUGGGGAUCAUUUUGACAUAGCAUUCAAGCAGUAUCCCCGAAGUGAUCCUUAUGAGGGUUGUCUGCUAAAGUUCUCUGUUGCAGAGGAGACGGGAAACUCAUACCUUGGCUAUUUGCAGGUAUAACAAACCCUGUGGGAUGUUUUAUGAUAGGGAAUCCCUUUCCAUGCAAGUCGAUCAGAAUUUGCCAGGUCAAAUUCCUCCCCCAUUUCCAAUGGGAAUGAACUCUUCACUUCCUGUGCCAAACUGCAGAGUAUAUCUGGACUUUGUCCUCUGCACUAAUCUGUUGUAAUCUUUCAGUGGUAUGGCCAGUUGCAAUCUGCCUUUUCAGUUACUGUUUUUCAGCUGUUCUUUUGUUACCCACUGUAGCUACUACUUGUAUUUUAAUGUUCUUGCCCAUAUUUUAAUGCACUUGACCUAUCUGAUGAGAGGUGUUGGACAGCCUCACUACAAAGGAAAGAAGCUUACUCUAUGCUUUGGUGUCCAGGUCACAAAACCCACAGAAGCGACAACCAUUUUUGUUCCACUUCCUUACAUUUCAUGAGAACUUGAACUCAAACUUCUCCCAGGGAAGUUGCAGAAGUACAGAACCAUCAAGAGCUUAUGAGGAGUAGAAAUACCUGUAGUGCACUAAGCUACACUUCUUACACUUCCAAAAUAUCUUCUCUCUGUUAAGGCCUAAAUUUGCCCACGUGUCACAUUUACCCUGGAUGCCAUUGCAUGCACAGGGCAAUGAUGCAGAUCAGCAGUCUCUGCCAAUUUCUUUUAUUUAUUUAUUUUUUUUUUAGAGGAGUUACCUGCUGCAUGAGUCUGCUGCCUCUGGCAGGCUAAGAUGGGAGAGGCUCCUGGAGUUCACUUUCAUGCAACAUGGACAAGCAAAGAGGCUCCCUGGCUACUCUCAAGGUAUGGAGUAGCAGGCUGUCCAGUUGGAUGGGGCGAUGCCCUUUGAUGCCCAGCCAUGCCCAGCGGAGCCACUUGGCAAACAGCAGAAUUGGGGAGCACACCUGAGCUGCAAGAGCCUCCAGAGAGAAUGUGGGAGUCCUGGUGGUGUCACAAGCACUGGAAGAAACUGUCGCUUGCCCCAUUGACAGUGAUCCCUGACCAGAUGUCACUGCGAGGUGUGCUUUCUGCAGGGAGGAUUCUGCAUCUGGACAUAAACCAUCACAGGAGGCUUCAGAACCGUGGGUUCAUAUUCACAAGUCUCUGCUGAACGCAUCAUGUCACAAGUCAAGCUGAAUGCCAAAGGAGACACUCCAGAUGGACUCAGUCUGGCACUCCUGACUUGAAACAAAAAGCUGAGGUCAAAUCUUAACACUGCUGAAUUCAAGGUGCAUCUUGUUUUUCUUCACUUCAGUGGGGCCAGUAUUUCUCCUUUUAUUUUGCCUGUGUAAGAAUUAUAUUAUGGUAUGAAGUAAGGCUUACUUGCUUUGUUUUAUUUUGAGUACACAAAUGUUGUUGUGCUAGUUCUCCAAAAGAGCACAGAAAUGACAAACGCACCAGUAAUUUUAUGUAACCAAGAGAAUGAGUCAGUGGGGGAAAAAAAGGGCAAAAAAAAUAGAGAUUUUAAUGAGUAGUAGACUUAAAAACCAAUCACAACCCAAACAACAAAAUUAUCAUUACAAAAAUGUUACUUUAAGCCCCAUGUUCGUUUUUUUCAAAAUUAAAGGGGGCAAAAACCUUCUUAUUUUACCAUAUUGCUGAGCUGAGAGAACCUCUUGAAAGCAUUACUGAAUGCUCUUCUCUUACCCUAGUCUUUCAUUUGCCUUUCAUGUUCUGCUAGUCUGUUACUGUGAGGUUCCUUGAACCACUACCAAUUAUUGCUUUUUUUUUCUUUUCCUUUUUUUUUUUUUUUUCUUUUUACAAAGAACAGGCUCUGGUUAGGAUAGCUACUGACUGACUGCUGUGAUGUGGGCUUUCACAAGUGACAAAGAAAAUGUGGGUCCAGCUUGACCUAUACUCCAGAAUUAACCAAUUGCAAUCUUGUCCCCGGUUUAGACUGUUCCUAUUUGAUUGAAUUGUCUACAAUUACUUAUGAUGUAUUUCUUUGCAGAAGAGUAUGAAUACUAUUUUUUAAAUUUACACUUAAUUAUAAGUGUUUGUAAUUAUGAGUGUAAAGAGGUAAUAAUAGAUGUCCCUGAGUGAAGUUGUGACGUAGUGUUUGGAAAUAUUUGGUGCCAAUACCGGGUGGUGGAUGGCCAUGUCCCACAGCCCCCUUUCGUGCCUUCACCCUGUGCCGCCCCAUUCCCUUCACUGUGCUGGCACAACCCGGAUAGGGUUGUACUCCCAAGCAGAUGGGGGAACUGAUCCAGAAAAAAAAAAAAAAAGAAAUCCAGCAAUUCCCCGCCUCCAGUGUUUCUAGCCAAAUCAAUUUCCCAGUCCAGUUUAUAGCACAGCUGUAGAAACAGUUGUGUUGCUGUGUGGAACACAAGGGCGGUAUAUCACAAUGAGAGAGACAAACGGUGGAGGGUAGGACUGGCAGUACUUUAAGUCAGAACCACCAGCCUCCGAGCCCCAUUGUGUGAGUGUUCUGUUUUUUCUUCAUUGGUACAUUGAACACCUUGUAAUCAAAAUUUAGAGCUGACAGGUCUAUAAAGAAAACAAUGCAAACACAAGGUCUAUAAAGAAAACAAUGCAAACACAAGGUAACAGUGAGCUCAUACUGGUCAGCAUAUUAAAGGCGAUGGCAGGAAACCACCAGAUUAAUCAUUGCUGAGCUUUUCCUGUUAGCAUCAGUGCAGGGAUGAGUUUUAAGUAGGACACAGUUGAGGUCAUUGUAGUGUCUCUGCUGACUUCUGUGCGGAAUGACUCCUAUGCAUGCCUUAUUAGUUCUAGAAAGCUUUGCUCAUUCAUUGCCUCAUGGUGAAUCUCUGGUUAGAAAAUUAACCACAGCACUCCUAGAAAAGGUAUUUUUUUCACAGUUUGUUUCUUUACAUUGUCACCUCUCUCUCUGCAUCUCUCAAAUGGCUCCUCUCUAUCAGUCAAAAACUUCUUUCAUUUCCAAUCCCUUUGUAGUUUCUCUACAACCUUUCUCUCUCUUUCAAUACAGACAGGUUAAGUCCCUGGAAGUGUUGCAGCACCAUUCUCCACUUGUUGGAUUUCAGUGGCUUGCUUUCUUGUACCUGUCACCUCAUAUUUGGGUGGCAUUUCCAUUAACAGCCUUAUCACCUUGUCUCAUCUUCGCCAGCCCUCUUUAAAAGUCAUCUCUGUUUGGGUGCCUAAAGAGAAGGUGACAACAGAUAGGAUCUGAUGCUACUCCUGCUGGCCAGCAUCUCUCUGUUCCCAUGUGUUUCCUUUUCUGGACCUUCUAGAAAUACGCCCAAAUAUACAUAUUUAUACACAUAUGGAAUUUGUACUCUGUUAGCCCUAGGGGUAACAGCUCUACUGUGGCAAUUGCUGUGCAAGUCCAAGCUGACUGCAAAGGCAGCGUAUUCGCUGGACUCUAUCUGUCUCCUUAAAGCUAAGAUGUGUUUGCUGAGUUUUUGUUGCUAAGAAGUGCUGUUAACUUAGCUACUGCACUGAGCUCUCCCUAAACCUCACAGGUUUUGUGUAUUUGCAUCUUCUACCUCCUUACCAGAUGUAAAUGAUAUCUAGAACAAGGCUACAGCAGUGCAAAGCUGUCACUAUGACAUACUGCAUCACUGUAAACAAGGAUAAAUGUCCCUCACAGUUUAUAAAGAAGGAAAAUAACAAUUGGAAAGGAAAUAAUAUUGUGUUAUGACCCGACUUCUGCUAUAUAUAGAUCCAGCAAUUGCCAUCCUGGACCAGGUUGUCAGUUGGUUUACUGUAUUAGUCAGUCUCAGGGACAGAAUAAUAGUAUUAGUUUCCAGUAAAGACACAGAAUAUGUAUUAUAUAAUCUUAUGGAAUAACCUGCCUGUAAGAAAUUCCUUCCAACUCUUCCUUACUUCAGUGAUUAGUGUCUGCCUUAAAACAUGAGUGUUUAUAUCUUUCCUGUAAAAACGGUCUGUAUGUAAUUAUGAGAAUUAUCACUUACACAAAAGUCUAACGCAGAACUUCUCAAAUAGCAGACCUCACUAGAUCCACAUCAUGAAUAAUUUUGACUACAGUGUGUCAAAGUCCUAUACUUAAAAAUUCUCCUGCAUUAUUUUGGAAAAUCCUAUAUUUUUCACCAUUUUCAUGGAGUUUGGGGUUGGUGGUGGGGAGCAGUACUCUGGCUGCAGUUCUCAGCUGUGCAGGCAGCAUGCAGAGCUUGGCUAGCCUGGCAGAGCUGGGGCUGGCGUCUUGCUUUUUGCUGAACCAAGUGGGGCACUAUUCUAUAAAUACUGAUUAGCCUUAGUCAAACCUUUUCCUAGCAACUCUUACUCUUCCUGCAGUCUACAUAACUACAUUUUUUUAUCUUUAUUGUUUUGGUUUGCUCACAACUGGUAUGUAGUUGUAUCAUGCUGUAUUUCUAGUGAAUCUCAAAAAAAGAAUGUUGUCACAGAGGUGAAGUUAAGGAAAUAGCCAGGAGUCACGUUGACGACAUGCAGCCUGCAUAAUUACUUGUCAUUAAAGACAUUCUAGGCAGGUAUAGUACAACAUAUCCCACAGUACUGUGCUGUCUUCAGGGCUGGCAGCAUAUUGCCAAUUGCCUAACAUUAGUAUUCCAGCGUAAAGACCAAAACUUCACUGUGAAUACCAUUAGAACUGGGUCACUAACAGAAGGUGCGUGACAGCUUAACAUGCAGAACAGCUAAAGCCAUUUCCUCCAUCUCACACAGAGCAGAAAUACUGAGAGUGAAGAUUAUGGAUAUUGCGUGAGGAAAAUGACAAAUGACAAGCCAUAGCAAUAUACUCGUUUGGUGGCAUUAGUGGUGCAGUUCUGCCUUGGGAACAGUGAAAUUAGGUGAUCAGCUGGCUGUUGUGCUGCACUGGUUUUGCUAAACACUGGAAUUCACUUUAAUAGGAAUCGAAAUGAUCGGGUGAAGUAUUUCAUUUUGCAGAGGAAAUUCUCUUGCUCAGCAGCACCCUAAUAACACUACUAUUUUGCAUUUUCUAUUCUGUUUGGAAUAAAGAGGUUUUAACCUUGCAGCUUCAAA
Anas platyrhynchos (mallard) is the source of this 7109-nucleotide non-coding RNA. The record is from RefSeq and is a predicted model, not a curated record. Lineage: Eukaryota; Metazoa; Chordata; Aves; Anseriformes; Anatidae.